AUCCAGCUGACGAGUCCCAAAUAGAACGAAACGCGCGUCAAACAU
Non-coding RNA from Schistosoma mattheei, 45 nucleotides. The record is from Rfam. NCBI's taxonomy places the organism in Eukaryota, Metazoa, Platyhelminthes, Trematoda, Strigeidida, Schistosomatidae.